This 521-nucleotide ribosomal RNA is filed under the name Vibrio harveyi. Its description in RNAcentral is "bacterial SSU rRNA". It matches the Rfam family "Bacterial small subunit ribosomal RNA", at positions 79 to 596 of the family's 1533-position model. Lineage: Bacteria; Pseudomonadati; Pseudomonadota; Gammaproteobacteria; Vibrionales; Vibrionaceae. The record is from RNAcentral.
ACGAUAACGGCGUCGAGCGGCGGACGGGUGAGUAAUGCCUAGGAAAUUGCCCUGAUGUGGGGGAUAACCAUUGGAAACGAUGGCUAAUACCGCAUGAUGCCUACGGGCCAAAGAGGGGGACCUUCGGGCCUCUCGCGUCAGGAUAUGCCUAGGUGGGAUUAGCUAGUUGGUGAGGUAAGGGCUCACCAAGGCGACGAUCCCUAGCUGGUCUGAGAGGAUGAUCAGCCACACUGGAACUGAGACACGGUCCAGACUCCUACGGGAGGCAGCAGUGGGGAAUAUUGCACAAUGGGCGCAAGCCUGAUGCAGCCAUGCCGCGUGUGUGAAGAAGGCCUUCGGGUUGUAAAGCACUUUCAGUCGUGAGGAAGGUGGUGUAGUUAAUAGCUGCAUUAUUUGACGUUAGCGACAGAAGAAGCACCGGCUAACUCCGUGCCAGCAGCCGCGGUAAUACGGAGGGUGCGAGCGUUAAUCGGAAUUACUGGGCGUAAAGCGCAUGCAGGUGGUUUGUUAAGUCAGAUGUG